GUGGGGAAUUUUGGACAAUGGGCGCAAGCCUGAUCCAGCAAUGCCGCGUGCAGGAAGAAGGCCUUCGGGUUGUAAACUGCUUUUGUAUGGAACGAAACGGUCCUGGUUAAUACCUGGGGCUAAUGACGGUACCGUAAGAAUAAGCACCGGCUAACUACGUGCCAGCAGCCGCGGUAAUACGUAGGGUGCGAGCGUUAAUCGGAAUUACUGGGCGUAAAGCGUGCGCAGGCGGUGCUGUAAGACAGGCGUGAAAUCCCCGGGCUCAACCUGGGAAUUGCGCUUGUGACUGCAGUGCUGGAGUGCGGCAGAGGGGGAUGGAAUUCCGCGUGUAGCAGUGAAAUGCGUAGAUAUGCGGAGGAACACCGAUGGCGAAGGCAAUCCCCUGGGCCUGCACUGACGCUCAUGCACGAAAGCGUGGGGAACAAACAGGAUUAGAUACCCGUGUAGUCC
RNAcentral lists this ribosomal RNA (450 nucleotides) under uncultured bacterium. RNAcentral's name for it is "partial 16S ribosomal RNA". It matches the Rfam family "Bacterial small subunit ribosomal RNA", at positions 354 to 796 of the family's 1533-position model. The record is from RNAcentral.